Molecule: long non-coding RNA, 485 nt
Filed under: Androctonus crassicauda
Lineage: Eukaryota; Metazoa; Arthropoda; Arachnida; Scorpiones; Buthidae
Source: RNAcentral
CCUGCAUUUCUGUGCUCCGAAUAUGUAUUAAUGUUAUUUCAUGUUCAUUUGUGUUUCAUAAGCAUUUUUCUUAAAUACAAUUUUGCAUUAGUUUCAUUUUUAUAGAUUAUUGUUUUUCAUCAGCAUAUGUGCCAAACAUUAGGAAAAUAUAGUUGGUGAUGAUAAGUCAGUCAAAAGGGCUAAAAACAUGUUAUCACUGGAGAAAAAACUUGAUGUGCUGAUAAGGUUAGGGUGUGGCAGUAGUGCUAUGUUGAUGGCCAGUUUAAUGAAUGUAAUCAAAUCAACUAUAAAGAUCAUUAAAACAAAAGAAGAAGUAAUUUUAAAGCUAAUGUCUGCUACUAGUGCUAAAAUUACCUCUAUGCACUAUGAUCUCAUUAUGGAAAGGAUGAAAAAGACAUUUAACAUUUGGAUUGAGGACCAAAUACAAAAGAGAAUUCCUUUAAAUAGUUCAGUGAUAUGUAAAGAAGUACCAAGAAUAUAUGAAC